Molecule: ribosomal RNA, 333 nt
Filed under: uncultured eukaryote
Lineage: Eukaryota
Description: partial 18S ribosomal RNA
Rfam family: Eukaryotic small subunit ribosomal RNA
Source: RNAcentral
CCCUUCGAUGUUCUGGGCCGCACGCGCGCUACACUGACGAAUGCAACGAGCUUAUAACCUUGGCCGAAAGGUCUGGGUAAUCUCCAAAUUUCGUCGUGAUGGGGAUAGAUUAUUGCAAUUAUUAAUCUUCAACGAGGAAUGCCUAGUAAGCGCAAGUCACUAGCUUGCGCUGAUUACGUCCCUGCCCUUUGUACACACCGCCCGUCGCUCCUACCGAUUGAAUGAUCCGGUGAACCCCUCGGAUUGGUCAGACCAGUUGGCGGGGCAACUCGUCAGCUUCUGGCCGAGAAGUUGGGUAAACCUUAUCAUUUAGAGGAAGGAGAAGUCGUAACA